ACAAUAAUCUUUCUGUUCAGUAUUAAAGGAAUCGCAGAUACAGACACCUGGUGCAUGUGCUUAGCUGAGGAGUCAGUGUUGUGCAGGUGCCAUUUGUAGGAUUUUGACUGAACACCUUUAAAUCAGAAUUCUCCCUAAAAGGU
RNAcentral lists this non-coding RNA (143 nucleotides) under Lepisosteus oculatus (spotted gar). RNAcentral describes it as "Eukaryotic large subunit ribosomal RNA". It matches the Rfam family "Eukaryotic large subunit ribosomal RNA", at positions 3013 to 3155 of the family's 3401-position model. The record is from Rfam by way of RNAcentral. Lineage: Eukaryota; Metazoa; Chordata; Actinopteri; Semionotiformes; Lepisosteidae.